UCAAGUCCACAAUAGACUCUCCUGUCCAC
Molecule: small RNA, 29 nt
Filed under: Bombyx mori (domestic silkworm)
Lineage: Eukaryota; Metazoa; Arthropoda; Insecta; Lepidoptera; Bombycidae
Description: ovarian small RNA-24772
Source: RNAcentral